Molecule: small nucleolar RNA, 138 nt
Filed under: Ornithorhynchus anatinus (platypus)
Lineage: Eukaryota; Metazoa; Chordata; Mammalia; Monotremata; Ornithorhynchidae
Source: RNAcentral
CCCCUCUCAGGGUCGCAGCUGGAGAGUUCCCAGUCCUCUACCAGUCUUGACUAUGGGAGGGAGAGUCAAGCAGAGGCCUAUCCAUUCCAUUCCUAGCUUGGGCAGUGGCUAGUGAGUGAAAGGCAAUCUGCUAUAAGU